AAAUUAUAAUAAAAUUCUUCAAAACAAUUUCUUUCCGCAAAGGAUGUUUUUAUCCUAAACUUUGAAAAUUCAUAUCUUUUGAUGCAAUUGUUCAAUUUUUUUAAUUUUUUAUUUGACAUAGAUUCUAUCUUUAAUUUUUUCUACAAAAAAAUGAAUUAUAAAUCUAUUACCAAUCUUUUGGCAUCUUUGAAAUCCUAGCAGG
Molecule: long non-coding RNA, 202 nt
Filed under: Physcomitrium patens
Lineage: Eukaryota; Viridiplantae; Streptophyta; Bryopsida; Funariales; Funariaceae
Description: long non-coding RNA (PPAT_LNC005523)
Source: RNAcentral